CCUACGGGUGGCUGCAGUGGGGAAUUUUGGACAAUGGGCGCAAGCCUGAUCCAGCUAUUCCGCGUGUGGGAAGACGGCCUUCGGGUUGUAAACCACUUUUGUAGAGGACGAAAAGUCUAUUGAUAAUACCGAUAGACGAUGACGGUACUCUCAGAAUAAGCACCGGCUAACUACGUGCCAGCAGCCGCGGUAAUACGUAGGGUGCGAGCGUUAAUCGGAAUUACUGGGCGUAAAGCGUGUGCAGGCUGUUUUUCAAGAUGGAUGUGAAAGCCCCGGGCUUAACCUGGGAAAGGCAUACAUGACUGGAAGACGUGAGGGGGUCAGAGGGGGGUGGAAUUCCAAGGGUAGCAGUGAAAUGCGUAGAUAUUUGGAAGAACACCGAUGGCGAAGGCAGCCCCCUGGGAGGAAACUGACGCUCAUACACGAAAGCGUGGGGAGCAAACAGGAUUAGAUACCCCAGUAGUC
This 465-nucleotide ribosomal RNA is filed under the name uncultured bacterium. RNAcentral's name for it is "partial 16S ribosomal RNA". It matches the Rfam family "Bacterial small subunit ribosomal RNA", at positions 338 to 795 of the family's 1533-position model. The record is from RNAcentral.